GUGGGGAAUAUUGGACAAUGGGCGAAAGCCUGAUCCAGCCAUGCCGCGUGUGUGAAGAAGGUCUUCGGAUUGUAAAGCACUUUAAGUUGGGAGGAAGGGCAGUAAGUUAAUACCUUGCUGUUUUGACGUUACCGACAGAAUAAGCACCGGCUAACUUCGUGCCAGCAGCCGCGGUAAUACGAAGGGUGCACGCGUUAAUCGGAAUUACUGGGCGUAACGCGCGCGUAGGUGGUUUUGUAAGUUGGAGGUGAAAUCCCCGGGCUCAACCUGGGAACUGCCUCCAAAACUGCAUGACUAGAGUACGGUAGAGGGUAGUGGAAUUUCCUGUGUAGCGGUGAAAUGCGUAGAUAUAGGAAGGAACACCAGUGGCGAAGGCGACUACCUGGACUGAUACUGACACUGAGGUGCGAAAGCGUGGGGAGCAAACAGGAUUAGAAACCCUGGUAGUCC
This 450-nucleotide ribosomal RNA is filed under the name uncultured bacterium. Its description in RNAcentral is "partial 16S ribosomal RNA". It matches the Rfam family "Bacterial small subunit ribosomal RNA", at positions 354 to 796 of the family's 1533-position model. The record is from RNAcentral.